GAUUUCUGGCUUGACGCGCUUGGCCCGCCGCGGUUACGCGUGUGAGUGCUGAUGCGCGUUUGCCAUCCUUUCAGAAAACGGCGUCUCCCUUCAUUGGGUUGGCGUCGCGAUCUGAAUCUAUUACUUUGAAAAAAUUAGAGUGUUUCAAGCAGGCUUUAUGCUAUGAAUACAUUAGCAUGGAAUAAUAAUUUAGGACUUCGGUUCUAUUUUGUUGGUUUCUAGGACUGAAGUAAUGAUUGAUAGGGAUAGUUGGGGGUGCUAGUAUUCAGCGGCCAGAGGUGAAAUUCUCGGAUUCGCUGAAGACUAACUUAUGCGAAAGCAUU
This 323-nucleotide ribosomal RNA is filed under the name Filosa sp. RNAcentral describes it as "SSU rRNA". The stretch from base 105 to 323 matches the Rfam family "Eukaryotic small subunit ribosomal RNA", at positions 736 to 955 of the family's 1831-position model. Lineage: Eukaryota; Cercozoa. The record is from RNAcentral.